Molecule: ribosomal RNA, 259 nt
Filed under: uncultured bacterium
Lineage: Bacteria
Description: partial 16S ribosomal RNA
Rfam family: Bacterial small subunit ribosomal RNA
Source: RNAcentral
GUCCACGCCGUAAACGAUGCUCACUGGUUCUGUGCGAUAUAUUGUACGGGAUUAAGCGAAAGUAUUAAGUGAGCCACCUGGGGAGUACGUCGGCAACGAUGAAACUCAAAGGAAUUGACGGGGGCCCGCACAAGCGGAGGAACAUGUGGUUUAAUUCGAUGAUACGCGAGGAACCUUACCUGGGUUUAAAUGGGAAAUGUCGUAUUUGGAAACAGAUAUUCUCUUCGGAGCGUUUUCUAAGGUGCUGCAUGGUUGUCGU